GUGCUCACUUCGGCAGCAUACAUACUAAAAUGGAAACGAUACAGAGAACAUUAGCAUGGCCCCUGCGCAAGGAUGACACACAAAUUUGUGAAGCAUUCCAUAUUUCU
Molecule: small nuclear RNA, 107 nt
Filed under: Cervus hanglu yarkandensis (Yarkand deer)
Lineage: Eukaryota; Metazoa; Chordata; Mammalia; Artiodactyla; Cervidae
Source: RNAcentral